GGCUCCCCGCCGCCUUCAGUCUUCCGAGCCCCUUCGGGGGGUUCUCCCAUCGGGGCUUCUGCCUUGGAGGCCAACCUCGAAAGGAUGCCACGGACCAAGAGGAGUAUGAGGGGGAAAACAGCGGCCUGCAAAUUCUCCGACUGUCGAACUAUCACUGAGGGUUCCCAUCGCCUCAAAGGGGGCUCGAGGGAGAAUUCCUUCAACAACAGGGAUUUAAUAACGGGGACAAUCGAUGAGCGCGUUUCGCCCGAGAAUUUUGGAGUAGUUGAACGGGGUGACACCGGUCAAAGGGGGCAG
Molecule: long non-coding RNA, 297 nt
Filed under: Elaeis guineensis (African oil palm)
Lineage: Eukaryota; Viridiplantae; Streptophyta; Magnoliopsida; Arecales; Arecaceae
Description: long non-coding RNA (EGUI_LNC046224)
Source: RNAcentral